CUCGUGUCGUAAUCACGUGAGUU
Molecule: small nuclear RNA, 23 nt
Filed under: Arabidopsis thaliana (thale cress)
Lineage: Eukaryota; Viridiplantae; Streptophyta; Magnoliopsida; Brassicales; Brassicaceae
Description: snRNA_19069
Source: RNAcentral